This 320-nucleotide ribosomal RNA is filed under the name uncultured bacterium. RNAcentral's name for it is "bacterial SSU rRNA". It matches the Rfam family "Bacterial small subunit ribosomal RNA", at positions 470 to 789 of the family's 1533-position model. The record is from RNAcentral.
UGACGGUACCUGACUAAGAAGCACCGGCUAAAUACGUGCCAGCAGCCGCGGUAAUACGUAUGGUGCAAGCGUUAUCCGGAUUUACUGGGUGUAAAGGGAGCGCAGGCGGCUCUGCAAGCCAGAGGUGAAAACCCGGGGCUCAACCCCGUGAUUGCCUUUGGAACUGUAGAGCUUGAGUACUGGAGGGGCAGGCGGAAUUCCUGGUGUAGCGGUGAAAUGCGUAGAUAUCAGGAGGAACACCGGUGGCGAAGGCGGCCUGCUGGACAGAAACUGACGCUGAGGCUCGAAAGCGUGGGGAGCAAACAGGAUUAGAUACCCUG